Non-coding RNA from Cercophora scortea, 104 nucleotides. The record is from the annotation of a GenBank genome assembly. Lineage: Eukaryota; Fungi; Ascomycota; Sordariomycetes; Sordariales; Lasiosphaeriaceae.
GUCACUUUGGCGGAGUGGUUAACGCGUUGCCCUGCUACUUUUACAAGAGCUAGCAAGCUUAGGCAAUUCCCUCGGGAGCACAGGUUCGAAUCCUGUAGGUGACG